AGGCGUAUAGCUCAGUCGGUAGAGCACUUCUCUGAUACGGAAGCCGUCUCUGGUUCGAGUCCAGAUGCGCCUACCA
This 76-nucleotide transfer RNA is filed under the name Thermoproteota archaeon. RNAcentral's name for it is "Crenarchaeota archaeon (anaerobic digester metagenome) tRNA-Ile". It matches the Rfam family "tRNA". From Rfam's summary of the family: Transfer RNA (tRNA) molecules are approximately 80 nucleotides in length. Their secondary structure includes four short double-helical elements and three loops (D, anti-codon, and T loops). Lineage: Archaea; Thermoproteati; Thermoproteota. The record is from RNAcentral.